Molecule: long non-coding RNA, 246 nt
Organism: Haliotis rubra (blacklip abalone)
Lineage: Eukaryota; Metazoa; Mollusca; Gastropoda; Lepetellida; Haliotidae
Exons: 2
Source: RefSeq, a predicted model, not a curated record
GCCCACGCGACACGCCGAAUUUGAUACCUUACCUGCCGGGUGAUGGUUAAAGAGGAAAUGAGACACUGACUUGGGGAGUAUUCCGUGGUGAAGACAAGGUCAUUCACCAGCAUCAUGAGCCCGUCAAUACACAUGUCCAUGUCCAUGUGCCGGAAGUGCAGAAUGCUACGGCGGAAGUGAAGGAUGCUUUGGACGCAGAGGGAGAAUAUUAAAGCUGUCCGCUGACCCGAGCAGUUCGCAACAAGA